This 481-nucleotide ribosomal RNA is filed under the name uncultured bacterium. RNAcentral's name for it is "partial 16S ribosomal RNA". It matches the Rfam family "Bacterial small subunit ribosomal RNA", at positions 28 to 507 of the family's 1533-position model. The record is from RNAcentral.
GACGAACGUUGGCGGCGUGCUUAAUACAUGCAAGUCAACUGAAGCAGUGGUAGCAAUCUCGCUGUGGAGGUGGCGCACGGGUGAGUAACACGUAGGUAAUCUGCCUUCAGGUCUGGCAUAACUCCGGGAAACCGGGGCUAAUAGCAGAUGAUGCAGCGGCUCGACAUCGAGACAGUUGUUAAAGCUAUGGCGCCUGAAGAUGAGCCUGCGUCUGAUUAGCUAGUUGGCGGGGUAACGGCCCACCAAGGCAACGAUCAGUAGCUGGUCUGAGAGGAUGAUCAGCCACACUGGAACGGAGACACGGUCCAGACUCCUACGGGAGGCAGCAGUAAGGAGUAUUGCGCAAUGGGAGAAAUCCUGAAGCAGCAACGCCGCGUGAGGGACGAAGGGCUUUUGCUUGUAAACCUCUGUAGUGAGAGAAAAAAAUCCCAAUCUUUGGGACAUGAUGGUAGCUCAAAAGUAAGCCCCGGCUAACUACGUG